CCGCAGCCCCACAGCUCGUUGCCGAGGGCUCGAGUCGUUGUGGGGCCGUCGGAGAAGGAACGGGGCUGCGCGGUAGCCGACUCGCCGCGCCUCGCCGCUGCCCCAGGAGCCGCGCGCUUCUUCCUGCUUUUCUUUCCUUUAUUUUGUUGUUGUUUGUUUGUUUGUUUUCCUUUCCUUUUUUUGUUUCCCCCCUCUUUUUGCGCGUUAUUCCGUUGUCCUCCCCGGCUCCGCGGCGCUUUUUCGUUCCUCUCUCCGAGCGGCAUUUCUCCCGUGUCCGUGUCACGGGGAAGCGCCGCUGCCGGUACCACAGGCAGUGCCCCGUCCCCGCGUGGGCAAGAACAGGAGGGAAAAAGACCCCAUCCUCAUUUUCUCGUUGGCAACACGGUGAAAAAGAGGAAAACGAGCGUUUAACGGGGCCGGGGCUCGGCCGCUGGGCACGAACACGAGUGGCAUCGCACACGCGGGGACUCGGGAAGGAGACGUCUCUCGAGGCCCACGGAGACCGGGGGCGGGUUGUGCACGCGUGUCCCCGUCCCCGUGCCAGGUCCCUGCUUCCGACCGAGCGGGUGCCCGGCAGUGACGGGCUCUCGGGGACAGCACUCGCCAAUGACCUGCCACCGAACUCGUGUCGCCGUGCGGGGAGGGGACACGCGUGGGAACGGCCCGGGAGAGGCUCACCUCCCGGCCACGGGCAGCCCCAGCCCGGCGGGAGCGGGGCUGCACUCCGCGACCUUCCUCUACUCGUUAUUUGUAUGGUAUCGCUAUUAAUAGAUACAGGUAGAUAGAUAGAUAGCCUAUUUCUACACCCGAGCAUCCCCAGCCUCCUCCGAACCCUCCCAGCCGCAUUUCCCCUCUACCAGCCCCUCAGAAAGAGCAGCGCGUUAAGCUCCGCUUCCGCCCUUCAUUCCCACAGAUCGAUUUUUUAAUUAUUAUUAUUAUUUUAAAUUUCUAUUUUUUUUUUUUUUAUUAUUUGACUUUCGGGGAGACCGAGCGGCAUCCGACCGCCCCGAGGACGGAGCCGCGUACCCGGGCGGCAGAAGGACUCCCCACCCAAUCCGCCACCAAAGCCGGCGGCGAGCGGCCGGACCGGCAGUCACUGUCGCUGUCACCGUCGCGGCUCCUCCCGCUCCCCUGCGGGCGACUUUCCCAUCUCACGGCCGCGAUCCGAAGGCGAACUCAGCCCCGCAUCGGCUCGCCGUGUUGGCCGAUGUAUUUAUUUUUUUCCGACUUCCCCUCCGCUGCGGGGAGGGGUUGGGAGAGGGGGGGUGCGAAGGCACUUCUUUAAUUGUCCGGGCCCCUAAUGACAUGCAGAGAUGGCUCAAAGGCAGCGGACAUCAAAGCGCAAGGGAAUGGCACGUCGGGCAGGAGAGCCGCGCUGCCCCGCUUGCCAAAGGGACGUCUCCUGCCCCGAACCGCCCCGAAGGUUUCUGCUGCCGAGCGGUGCGGGCAGGCGGCCCCGGCAGGAUUGUAUGCAAAAGCGGUCGGUGGGGAUCCUAAAAAAACCGGACAGCUCAGGGUGAGAUGAGUCUAAUUAUUGCUGGUUCUAAAAAGAGCUGGAACACCCAAGUAGGGCUUAACUCGUCUCCUGGGAAACUGAUGGAGACCUAUUUUACAAGCUGUAAUUCUGCUUUAGACUAUUGCAGGCUAAAGGCAGUUGACACUAUCCUCUUUCUUCUAGAAAUAGUCCUAAUCCUAUAUUUCGGCCGGGGAAAGUCCGCUUCUGCUCCACACUAGAUUAAUCCAGAAACCACAUAAAACCAGCUCUGACCUCCCCCCGUGCCGGACAGGGCAGGGACCGGGCGGAGCAGCCGGGCGAGGCCGGCAACUUGCAGCACGGGGGAUCAGUGUCAAGGACGGAUGGGGCCAACCUCUGAGCUGUGCUGAGCGUGCUGCUGCCGUGUGUGCAUCCCCUAUGAAACCCCAGAUCCCCAUCUCUGAUUGCCUCUUUGUGUCUGUACUUGUGUGCAAUACCUGCGUUACGCUUCAGUAGACUCGGGAGCGGACAGAAGUGCUAUCUCUGCCUCGAGGAUAUUUGAGAAGAUGCUUCUCCGGGAUGGAUCCUUUUAGGAAAAAAUAAAUCGUUAAAACACUCCGGGAAAGCUGAAGAAUGAAUGAAUUUGUGGAGCUUUCUGAGGGAUGCACAUCCGUGCCAUCCUAAGGGUGAACACUCAUCCCACCCUGCAGGACCCCAGCAAUUGCCAUCCAGCACUGAGCCAUGCUACGGCGCUCUGGUCCUCCAGCACAUCCCUCCCUUUGCUGUUGCUCUGCACUACUGCAAAAUUACAGACUGGAGAUGGGGGGCUGAAAGCAGCAGCUCUGCUUCAGGGUGGCAGUGGGACGGGGCAGAAGGUGAGGCUGAUACUGCAAGAGGUUGCCAGGACUUUCUGUUCCCUCCGGGUCCAAUCUGAGGCGUCAUUAGCAAACUAAUAAACUGGCUGCAGAUGUUGAGCCAACAGCAGGCACGUUCCUCAGGAGCAUCCCUGCUAACUCUUGGCUUUGGGAAGCAAUCAGCUCAUCCCUGUGUUUCUCUUUGUGCCCACUCUCUGCCCCACUUCUUCCCUCCUGCCUGGAAUUUUAGGAGAAAAGAAGAAAAAAUAGAAACAGGAAACAAAGCGGGAGCUUCCUCAAAUCAAUUUUUUCAAGUUGAUUUAUUUUCUUUAUAUUGCAGUGGAUGGAGCUCUGUGGCCUUACUGUUUCUCUCGGAAAAUAGAAGUAUUUGUGCCAGUCACAGCAGUGCCAGCACAGAGGUGGCUCUGGCAAUUGGCAAACACCAAUGCCAUACCCAUACCCCGCUGACCCCACCAGAUCCCUCGUGGCCGAAUGGUGUGGGUACGGCAGUAGCGAUGCUGGAGGAGGCAGGCGCUGCCCUGCAUGGGGCCGGAUCUGGGUCCUUGGGGGCAGGAAUACACCAGGGCUGGAGUUUCAUGGGGAAUAGGAAUCCGCCGUGCCCAGGUGGGGCUGCGGCUUCUAAAGUGCCUCUUAAGCUUUCCUGUAUCCUGCUAGCGAGGGAAAAAACUCACAAGGGGAUCCUGCCUGUUCACCUAGCCCUGAAGGGAGAAAAGAGAGGGAUCCCCGAGGCUGGGAGGGCUGCUCUACCCCAAAGCCCAUCUCCAGGCAGGGGGCCGAGGGAGAGGCAUCCUGCUCGCUUCUUUCUGCCUCUAGCUCUGCUUUUUGUGCUGCCCCAGGUAGCGGCCCCAGCGCAUCCCCUGCCGCGGCAGCGCUGUGCUGCACGGAGCAGCACAUUUCCCCCGAGUUACUUAUUAACCACCGUUCGUUUGACAGGAUCGAUAUUUCAAGCUAGGGAGUAAACACUUAAGAAGUAAUGCUCCUCUCUGCUCUCUUUUUCCUCGGCAAAAUGAUUUAUUUUAUAAAAUGCAUCUGCCUGGCAGGGAGGCUGGAGCCCCGUGGCUUUUAUCCGCGGGAUAUGCAAAGCGCAUUUAUUUCGUCUUUUAUCUCUCAUAUUGCGCGUUGAUCCCAUACAUAUAGAUUGAUUUUGUUCAGGUAGAUAAUGAAAAGUCAAGUGGAAAAUUUACACAAAGGCACUCAGGAUCUCCACUUUCUAUUGGUAUAUAAAUUGGUUUAUUACUUCAUUCCCUUAAACAGCGACUUUCACGCUGGGGAACACUUUAAAAUAUAUCAUGUUUAAACACAGAACCAUUUACCUUCCGUGUGGUUUCUCUCUUUCCAUCGGUAAUUUCCUCGCCACUUUUGCUAAUUACCGAAGAUAUUUGUGUUUAAACAAGGGCCCCACCAGCAGCAAUCCGUCUCCCUCCUCCUCCUGCUCCCAGCAUCAAACCACCCCAACCAGAGCUCCCGGCGCUGGGCACGGGGAUGGUGACAAAGCCUGGCAGCGGGCUCUAAUUCCCCGUAAGCAGCUUUGGCUUCGCCACCCCAAGGCAGUGAAUGGAGGGCACUGGACGGGAGAGCGCAGCUCGGAACAAAACCGGCAGGAAACGUUAUUAAUAAACAUCUUCUGGACAUUUGGUGGCUCAUCUAGGCUGCUCCAGCUUAAAGCAAUUAAUUCAGGAUACUGACAUAAACUCUCCAGCUCUUUGACAGCUUGGAGCUGAAAUAAAAAUGCUAGUUCUCCAGGGAAAAGGAGAGGAUAGUUGGCUCUUUUCUGGACUGUUUGCUUAUAGGCCCAGAGAGCAAUCUUCCUUGCAGAAUGAAAUGCAAGGACACAAACAAUGUACCGGAGAGAGAAUAGAAGAUGGGAAUGAACAGUUUGAACUAUUUGCUCAGCAGAAGGGCAGCCACAAUGCUCAACCAAUGGCUUUCCCAUGCAUCAACCGGGCUUCUUAGGCCCUUUUGUUGUUCAUCCUCUUCCUCUGACCAGAUAAGAGCACAGCUGCACGGCCGUCGACUUAGCCACGCAAAUCUGGUGCCGCGCGGAGCCGCGUCCCUGCGGAGCUCGAGGACAAGGUGACACCGGGCAGCGGCACAUCCAGCAACCCCCGCAUUCAGUGCCACCUCCCCACAGCCAGGCUGCUGACCCCUGCCCUCCCCUUGCCCCCUUCCUGCCUCCGUUGCCCAUUGCCCAGGUGGUGCUAUGCUGCUCCGACCCAAACGCCAGCUCCAACCGUGAUGCUACACCGCUUCGUGCCGCCCCAGGCUGGGAUUCGGUGAGCAAGGCUGGAACAAGGUUUGUUUAGCUUGAAAGGGUUUGACGAGGUGAAAAGGCAAAGCGCCGAGGACUAAAGAAAACGCCUGCCUGGCUGAGAUCACACGGAGCACUCGUCGUCAAAGAGCACACCUGCAGGAAGCACCGAGUUUAAACACUGCUGUCACAAAAACCUGAGAAACCUCCGGGUAUUUCAUUGUGGGCUUUUUUUUUUGUCUCUUUUCCCCCUUCUCCCCUACUGGGUGGUCAGGAGAGCAGGAGGGCUCCCAUUGUCUGCAGAGCUGACCCCACGUGUCCCUGCCAUGCCAGCACCUGGCCGACACCGCAACGCCCCAAUCCAGCCCCAAUCUCCAGCCCAGCGCCCGGCAUUGGGCUGCUUAAUGAGACCCUAACGAGGUGCUCAGCCUUCAUUUCCAAAACGCUGCGACGCAGACAAAGGGAAAGUGCAGUCAGCUCCGAGUAAUUUGUGCCGCGCUCCCGGCGAAUGAAUUUAGGGGAGCAAAUAUCGUUAUGCGGGAUUUAAAUUAAAGUUGACACUAAUGUAAAUACGGCAAUGCAACCGGCUGUUUAAGAAGUGUGAUGAGGGUACAGUUUUAAUCAGGUCCUUUUAACUCAGGUGGCAUUUUAAAUCCUCGCCGGUUCAUUUGGAUAACAGUCCCAGAGGAUGUCCUGGAGUGGGAUGGUGAGGGAUGGUUGUCCCGGGAGCUCACCUGGUGAGCAGUGAAUGCAGUGUUGGACGCUGCAGAUGGAUGGACCCCCCCUGCCAAGGGCUGGGUAACAAAGGCAGAGGCGGCAGCUAAAAGGGUUGGUAAUAAAUUCUUGCGGGGUCGGUCAGCGCCUGCCAGAUUUCCCCUGGCGCUCUUGAACAAUCUGCUUCCAGCCUAAAUCAUAGAGCUGAGGCUUGGGGGAAAAAGGGAAAAAAGAAAAAAAAAAAAAAAGAGGAAAGAGCGGAGACCGCCUCACCUACUUCAAAGCCUGAACAGCGCAGAGGUGCUUCACAAUAACAAUAGCACUGGCUGCAGCCUGGAGGAGCUCCAUAACAGGAGCUCUGUAACCUGGCAAGACUCAGAGUUACGGUUACCAGAACAAUAUUUGGCAAGGGAAUUCUCCUGGUUCAUUUUUGUCAAAGGGAACAUAACGCCACUGGCAGGGAUAUGGUGCCAGCACGGCGCUGCGUUGGGUUCAGGCUGCAGUAGUGCCUGGCUUUUCUGGGCAGAGGGUUCAAUACCUAAUAGUAAUAAUAGUAAUAAUAAUCAUAUCACCAACAUCCACUCUGGGGAAGAAAGAAACCUUCUCUUGAGGUUUUCAGACAGCUGGCUGCCUCCAUGCCAUGCGUGCAGGAUGCCCGUGCUGAGCUCAUGUGAAGUUGAGGGUUAAGGUGGGGGGUAGGGUCAGGGCCCCACGUUAACCCAGAGUUUCUCUGGCUCCCGGCCCCACUCGGAGCUGCAGAGCCCUGCCGGUCCCUGCAGGGUAUUGCAUCUUCUCGGAGCUGUCCUAAUCCCCCCGUGUGACUCAGCGCUGUUAAAAUACCAAUGAGAAUAAUAAAAUGGGUUAUAAUGCUAUUAGGUAUUCCCCUUAGCUAUCCUGGCUACCCAAGGAGGAUGGAGUGGGAUGGGGAAGGGAGAGAGGAUGCAAUGGGCAUGGGCAAGGGAGGAUCCUGCAGCUGUCCAUUGGGCUGGAGCUAGGAUUUGGGGGAAGGAAGUGGCUUCUUGCCCGGGUUUUGUUCUGUGGAGGAUCCCCAGGUGGGGUGAUCCUACCCGCAGCCCCCCCCCCCCCCACCAGCCCCUGCCCUUUGCACAGAUGCCUAUGUCCACAAACCCCCCCUAAGCACUUAAUGAGCUCCGAGACGCCUAUUGUCUUGGCAAAGCUGAUUGAAACGGGCGAGGAGUUCAAGGGUUAGGAAGGGAGGGCUGUGUGGAGGCAGACACCCGGUGACACCAGGCUGCCCAGCCAGCAAAUGGGCUCUGCAGCAGCAUGGCACACACUGUGUCCAACACCCAUCACAUGCCAACAUACUGCUGGGUGCUGAGCCCAGACUGUGCGGCAGCUUAUCUGCCUUUAGCACAAAGCUGGGACGAAGUCUGCAUUGCCCAACGCAGAGCUGGAGUGGGCCUUGGACCCAGCCCUGUGUCAGCAGACCUCCCGGCCCUGCUCUGCUCGCUGACAGCCAGUGUUUUUUUACUCCUUGAGACUGUCAGGAAUGUUUUUCAUGCAGGAGUGUAGUGCAUUCAGCAUACUGAAACCGCCUUAAUCUCAGCAAGACCAACAAAGAUAAGGAAUAGCGUUUAAGUUGGCCGAAAUUAGCAAAUGCAUCUGCUGCACAAUGCCCCUGUUACCAUUAGCUGUGACCGGUGAAUGGCACUAGCAAAGUAUGCUGGCAAUGUUUAACAAACCAUCCGUCUUUUACCUGUUCCUACUCAACAGAAACCUUUGUUUGAACCACGGGCCUAUUCAGUCCUGCUGCUGUCUGCUUAUCAGCAAGAUUAAUCUCCGAG
Long non-coding RNA from Gallus gallus (chicken), 7116 nucleotides. Lineage: Eukaryota; Metazoa; Chordata; Aves; Galliformes; Phasianidae. The record is from Ensembl.